UACGGAGGGAGCUAGCGUUAUUCGGAAGUACUGGGCGUAAAGCGCACGUAGGUGGCUUUGUAAGUUAGAGGUGAAAGCCUGGAGCUCAACUCCAGAACUGCCUUUAAGACUGCAUCGCUUGAAUCCAGGAGAGGUGAGUGGAAUUCCGAGUGUAGAGGUGAAAUUCGUAGAUAUUCGGAAGAACACCAGUGGCGAAGGCGGCUCACUGGACUGGUAUUGACGCUGAAGUGCGAAAGCGUGGGGAGCAAACAGG
Molecule: ribosomal RNA, 253 nt
Filed under: uncultured bacterium
Lineage: Bacteria
Description: partial 16S ribosomal RNA
Rfam family: Bacterial small subunit ribosomal RNA
Source: RNAcentral